GCGAUCCCAGGUCAGGCGGGGCUACCCGCUGAGUUUAAGCAUAUCAAUAAGCGGAGGAAAAGAAACUAACGAGGAUUCCCUUAGUAGCGGCGAGCGAACCGGGAGCAGCCCAGCAUGAAAAUCGUUCGUCGUCGGCGGCCGAAUUGUAGUCUGGAGAAGCGUCCUCAGUGACGGACCGGACCCAAGUUCACUGGAAGGUGGCGCCGGAGAGGGUGAGAGCCCCGUCGUGCCCGGACCC
RNAcentral lists this ribosomal RNA (238 nucleotides) under Noterophila crassipes. RNAcentral describes it as "Acisanthera crassipes partial 28S ribosomal RNA". It matches the Rfam family "Eukaryotic large subunit ribosomal RNA", at positions 1 to 237 of the family's 3401-position model. RNAcentral also lists the same sequence under 2 other names. Lineage: Eukaryota; Viridiplantae; Streptophyta; Magnoliopsida; Myrtales; Melastomataceae. The record is from RNAcentral.